UGCCCAGCAACUCCUAUCCCUACCUCCUCGUGGUACUGGCCGGGGUACGAGUAACCUUGGGGAAAAUCGGUUAUUUAACCAACACCCGGUGGGAACGUUGGUCGUAUGCUGACAGGAAAGG
Molecule: ribozyme, 121 nt
Filed under: Aedes aegypti (yellow fever mosquito)
Lineage: Eukaryota; Metazoa; Arthropoda; Insecta; Diptera; Culicidae
Description: drz-agam-1 ribozyme
Rfam family: drz-agam-1 ribozyme
Source: Rfam by way of RNAcentral